RNAcentral lists this long non-coding RNA (5103 nucleotides) under Equus caballus (horse). Its description in RNAcentral is "lncRNA (ENSECAG00000033797.3)". Lineage: Eukaryota; Metazoa; Chordata; Mammalia; Perissodactyla; Equidae. The record is from RNAcentral.
GGUUCUGCGAUGCCCCCAUGAGCUCUGCCACCAGGGGCUGAGGCUGGAGAGACAUCGCAAGCUGCCCAUCCUGGAGCUGCUGAUGCUGGAGCAGUUCCUGGCCAUCCUGCCCCCGGGGCUGCAGAGCUGGGGCUGGGAGCGCCCUGGGCCGUGGAGAGGAGCUGGCUAUGACGGAAGAUUAGCCCUGAGCUAACCACUGCCGGUCCUCCUCCCUUCUGCUGAGGAAGCCUGGCCCUGAGCCGACAUCUGUGCCCAUCUUCCUCUACACAUGUGACGCCUACCACAGCAUGGCUUGCCUAGUGGUGCCAUGUCCGCUGCCAAGAUCUGAACCGGUGAACCCCGGGCCGCCAAGAAGCGGAACGCAUGAACUUAAUCGCUGCACCACUGGGCCAGCCCUAGAUGACCGGAAGUUUCCUGGGGGCAGAGGGCAUCUCCACCACCGGCACAAGAACCACCACGCGUCGGCACAAGAACCACCACGCGUCGCCAGCUUCAGCCAGUGACACCCAGUUCAAACGCAGAUCUUGGGAGCUCCACCCCCUCCAAGCCAGUGGUAAGAGGCAGCUUCCCCUGGGGAAGAGAUUGGGGUCCUCGUUCCUUCUUCCUGGGUCCUCCUGUGCUGAAAAGCAGGACAGAACAUCACAGCUUACAGAUCUGUGCUGGGAGCCGAGUGUGAUCAUUGAACUAGCAUGAGACCAUAAGUGUGGAAUGCAGAGAGGUACUGAGGUCAUUGGAGGACAAGAAACAGAAUGGAACCCCUCCGUCGUCUCAGUCAUCCACAGGGGCCCCUGCCAGAGCUGAGCGUCCCUGUGGUGUGGUAGCUUUUUGGCCAAACCACGCUCCAUGGUGUGGCUCACAGAGACCUUUCUUGACAAUGAGAUGAUCUUGUCUUCUUCCCUCCAUGUAGUCUGUACUCAGCGUUUGGAGGGAACCCAGGAGAUCAAGUCACCUUGUUGGGUCUAUGGAGGGGCCCUGCUCCAGGGCAAGGCAGGCAGUUGGGAAUCAGGAGAACAGGCUCAAUGAGGCAUCUCCCCAGCGGGAGGGGGCAGCCGGCAGGGUGGAGGGGCUGGACGCGCCGCUGUCUCUCCCUCAGAGAGGAGUGGUUCCAUCGCUGUUUCUGUUGCUGUAAAUUCUCAGAACUCAGUACCUUCCUUUGUAACAGGACUGUAACGCUCCUUGCAAAGCCAAAUAUCCCCUACUAGGGGGUGCUGUUUUAGAUCAGCAGUGCCAGCCUGGCCUUGCGUGAGCACCGGGGGCCAAGAGUUGACCUCCCAGAUUUGGACGUGUCCGUGGACACCUAGUCGGGGAGCAUCAGGUCCCUUCUCUUGGGAGUGUAGUUUGACUGAAGAGCUCCCCGAAAUAAGUGACACACUCACAACUUCUAGCAUCUCCUGUCACUGUUGGGAUCCAUGGGACACAGAAGGCGGGGAGGCCAAGGCAGGGAUGACAUUCAUCUGGUGCCACCAGCACGGAUGGACGGGUUGUGAAAGUAUUGAAACGCUUCUAGACUGGUUGGUAAGCAGCUGCCGCUCUGUCCCUGAGUGCCCUGCCAGCCCUUUGGCCACCCGGUGAUGCCCCCGAUCCUCAAGACCUUCCCAGGGUCCACCCUUUAAUGGUUAUCACCAGGUCCCACCAGAGGUCUCCAGGUGAGACCAGCAUCUGUUCUAAUCAGUCAGUCUGGGCCCUACGAGUUAAGUGUUUGUAACAUGCUCCUUGGCCCCUGCCUUGUGGCCCGUGCUCGUGAGGGACAGCUGAGCAGCACAGAGCAGCGAGACGGGCACUGGAACCAACUGGAUUGGGGUCCUGCCUCCGCUGCGUACUAGCUGUGCCAUUUGGGGCAAGUCCUUGAACUUCUCUGAGCCUCAGUUUCCUCAUCUGUAAGCGUCAAAUAAAAUAAUAGAUGAGAACGUACUUUGUAAGCUACAACGUGCCCCCAUGUAAAAGUUAUUUUUUAUUACCGUUUAUGACAUCUAUGAGUCUUUGUCCAACACGGGACCGCACCCACAAAGCCAGCGUUCAUCCCUCGGCCUCCGCUCCUUCCUUUUACCCUUUCUGCAGCUACUUCAACCUCUAUCCCCUGCCGCCCUCCAGGGGACACCCAAGGACUCCACUCUGCUGAGGUCACAGCCUUGGCCCCCCUGGGACAGUGUCCUCAACCACCUGCCCACCGCGCCCUCUUCCUGUGUGGCCAAGUCAUUCUCCCAGAAGCUUCCUUAGACUUCCCCUCCUGUCACCCCACUACCAAGCUUUUUCCUCCUCCUCUCCCCAGAUUUGUAAAAUAAUAAUUUGACAGGUUUUCGUUAAUAUAAAAGGAAUACAUGUUUGUGACAGAACAUUGGGAAAAUACAAAUAUGCCUGAAAGGAAAAUGGAAGUAACUCAUAAUCUCACCGUAUAUAUACUAUUUUAUAAGCUACUGUAGAAAUAUAUAUGAUCAUGAAAUUCUUUUACAGCCUCAUUUUUCAUCGUGGUGUCACAUGCCGCCGUUCAUGUCAUGGGUCCCCUGUGAUCGGCAGGGGUUUUAUCUCCACAGCCACCUUUGCACAGCAAUAAUAUUUGGAUUCUCUCCGUCUGGGUUCCGAUGGUGACCUCAGGACUGAGGACGGCUUCAGCUCAGAUCAGGAACUUGCUGAAGGAAGGCCUCCCCAGUGACUCAAGCAGACUCCAGGGAAGCUCUGCAGGCGCCAGAGCUGGGAGGCCCGCAGAAUGUUCCAGGCCCUUGGGCUGCCUCAGGGAACCUCCCAGAGAGCAGGCUGAGCAGCCAUCCUGCCCAAGAGAGGAGUUUCAAGCAGGAGAGAGAAGAGACAAGCCAUGAAGGUGACAAGUGACAAGCCUGCAGGCCAGGUGAGCUCCUGGUUCCAGAUUAGAAAAGACGUCCGGGCAAAGGCCACAGUGAUGUCACACGUGUGGCUGUGGUCGAGCAGACACAGCCCUCGUUCAGCAUCGGAGCCCACGCGGAAGAGAAGCCUCAGGUGUGAGCGGUGACAGGUCAGGAAGCUGUUACUUUGAUGAGAAAAGGAGAGAGGCGGGACCACCAUGGCCCUGAGCAGGGAAGCUGGUGUGUGUGAGCUGAGGGGCACGAAGGACACAGCUAGACACGGUCCCCAAACACAGGCCUUCUCUGCGUGGCUUCAUCACCACCAGGUGUGUGCUCCCCAGGUGCCGAAGGGCAAGGGAGCUGGCCCGCUCAGCCACUCGUCACCAGGCCACUCAGCUCCCACAUCAGCCACCUGGCCUCCACCUUAGUCCCUUCUUAGGCCACUUUUCUGUCACUUCUGCUCUUUUGUAAGAAACAUAAUACAUUUUUUCUCUUCUCAACAAGCGUAAUGCAUGUCCAUAACAGACACUUUUAAAAUACAUGUAAACAAAAUGAAAAAAAUCUAGUCACCUAUUCCAGAAUCACGGGUAACAUGGAGUGUCUUUCUAGCAUUUUUUCCUAAGCAUAUAUAUACAUUUUCUCCAUUUUUCAGGUUUCUCUAAAACCUAAAAAAAGAGGUAGGGAACCUCCCUGCAGCCCGACUUCCUUUCACCUGGGAGCCGAGAAUGGGAACCAAGAGAAGGUGGGAACCGGCCUGUGUCUUGUGGACCCCGCCCUGGCGGCCUCAGGAGCAGGACCUCUUUCGGCCACCAGAGGGGGGUGUCUGCUCAUGCACGUCUGUCCCAGUUUUCUCCUCGGGUCCAGGAACGGGCAGCUCCCCUGGAAGCCACCGUGGCCGCUCCUCGCUUUAUUGCUCAUUCUGCUCCCUGCCGCCCCGGGAAACCUUCUUGGUUCCUGAGGAGAAACAGACCAAACUCCCAGGCUCCCUCUGGACCGCGUCUGCCCAGAUUUCCCGCAGCCUUGGACAGCUCUCCUCGCCGGUGCCGCCUUGGGCCUCAGAGGGAGGGGAUGACCUGCUUCCCGUUGUUCUCAGGGUCGAGUCCCGAGGCCCUGGACGGCCCGGCCCCUCCCUGUUCCUCCCCCCCUCCCUCCACGUUGGGCUCCGUUUUCCUCACUUACACUACACUGGCCAUCUUCCGGCUCCGUUCACUCUGUUCCCUCACCAGCUGACCCUCCCGCGUGUUGCUCUCGGGAAGGCGCCCCCCAGCCCGCCCCAGGCAGAUGCCUGCUGUUCCAGGGCUUAGGUGACACGCUGCUUCUUCCCGGGAGUCGCUCCCAACCCCGCGAGUCUGGGAUACGGGAUUCUCUUCUCUGCUUCCUGGGGCCCAGUACUUCCCCUUUCAGAACUCGUAGCAUGCUGGGUUGUCUGCCUCCUUCUAGAGUGGAAGUUCCAGGAGGGCAGGGACCGUGUCAGUCUUACUCGCGUCCCCAGCACUGACGCACCCUGCCCGGCGCUCCGCAGCGCUCAAUGAAGAUUUGCUAAAUGGGCGCAUGAAUGAGUGAAUGCGGAAUGAAGGAGUGUGCCUUUCCCUGGUCCCUGAAGUAGAGUCUCCGAAAGCCGUCCCCUUCUCUCCUUCUGUCCCCUUGCCCUCCCAGUUCGCCAGGUGCCUCUCAUUGUCCCUACAACUCUGGAAACAGCCCGAGGAAUCGCACACUAAUGGCCCGGUUCCCUCCCUUGUGUGGGGCAGACAGUGGGGUUUGGAGCGAGAUGGACUGAGCUUCAAGUACUCUGCCACUUAAUAGCUGUGCGCGCACCUUAUUUUCUUUAUUUACAAAGUGGAGAUAACAGGUCCCAGGCCAUUGCUCUGAGAAACCCCGGGCCAGCUCGACAUGUGGUGAACAGCCAUUACGCCCGCGUUCUUUCUCCCUCCCUUCCCCGCGCUCUCUCCUACGCCCCCUCCGAAGCCUUGGGACACAGACACCCCUGCAGUCCAAAAGGUGCCACUGUCUUCCUGUUCCCCUCUCUCUUCCCCGAGGUUGUCCAAGCCACUUGUUGCUGACACCUCCUUCCUCCCUGUCCCUUAUCCCCAGCACAAAUGUUAAUGCCAGCUACAGAGCAGAGUAGAAGCUGAGAAGACACUUGUUGAAUGAAUGAACCAGUCACCGCGCCCUCCCCUGCGGCGUGUUUGCCAGUGGUCAGACGUGUAAAGUGGUCGCCAGCCCGUUGAUGGGCAGGGGCCUCCUGCCAUUGGACGACUCCCGUGGCAGGUUGGGCACAUGUGAAGAC